RNAcentral lists this ribosomal RNA (245 nucleotides) under uncultured Lachnospiraceae bacterium. RNAcentral's name for it is "partial 16S ribosomal RNA". It matches the Rfam family "Bacterial small subunit ribosomal RNA", at positions 524 to 768 of the family's 1533-position model. Lineage: Bacteria; Bacillati; Bacillota; Clostridia; Lachnospirales; Lachnospiraceae. The record is from RNAcentral.
UACGUAGGGGGCAAGCGUUAUCCGGAUUUACUGGGUGUAAAGGGAGCGCAGAUGGACAGACAAGUCAGAUGUGAAAGCACGGGACUUAACCCCGUGAUUGCAUUUGAAACUGCCGGUCUAGAGUACUGGAGAGGUAAGCAGAAUUCCUAGUGUAGCGGUGAAAUGCGUAGAUAUUAGGAAGAAUACCGGUGGCGAAGGCGGCUUACUGGACAGAUACUGACAUUGAGGCUCGAAAGCGUGGGGAG